AGCGAACGCUGGCGGCAGGCUUAACACAUGCAAGUCGAGCGCCCGUAGCAAUACGGGAGCGGCAGACGGGUGAGGAACACGUGGGAACGUACCCUUCAGUUCGGAACAACCCAGGGAAACUUGGGCUAAUACCGGAUAAGCCCUUACGGGGAAAGAUUUAUCGCUGAAGGAUCGGCCCGCGUCUGAUUAGCUAGUUGGUGAGGUAAUGGCUCACCAAGGCGACGAUCAGUAGCUGGUCUGAGAGGAUGAUCAGCCACACUGGGACUGAGACACGGCCAGACUCCUACGGGAGGCAGCAGUGGGGAAUAUUGGACAAUGGGCGCAAGCCUGAUCCAGCCAUGCCGCGUGUGUGAAGAAGGCC
This 361-nucleotide ribosomal RNA is filed under the name uncultured bacterium. Its description in RNAcentral is "bacterial SSU rRNA". It matches the Rfam family "Bacterial small subunit ribosomal RNA", at positions 29 to 416 of the family's 1533-position model. The record is from RNAcentral.